ACUGAUCAUCCUCUCUCCACAAGUCCAGCUUAUUUCUUCCUCCUCUACCUCUCAAGGGAAUCAUGAAAAUCCAUAAAAUCAUCUAACAAGCAUCUCAAGUCCUUUCACUUUCAGCUUGUGUGUUGACAUAGUAUCAGAUUAUUGAAGCAUACAGGUCAAGAAAAAGGAAGACUUUAUUCCUUGAUGUAACUAGUUUCCGUUGAUUUGAGUUUUAGCUACUAAAAAAGAAAAAAAUGCCCUUUGA
Molecule: long non-coding RNA, 244 nt
Filed under: Elaeis guineensis (African oil palm)
Lineage: Eukaryota; Viridiplantae; Streptophyta; Magnoliopsida; Arecales; Arecaceae
Description: long non-coding RNA (EGUI_LNC074788)
Source: RNAcentral